Molecule: ribosomal RNA, 385 nt
Filed under: uncultured bacterium
Lineage: Bacteria
Description: bacterial SSU rRNA
Rfam family: Bacterial small subunit ribosomal RNA
Source: RNAcentral
AUUGAACGCUGGCGGCAUGCCUUACACAUGCAAGUCGAACGGCAGCACGGGAGCAAUCCUGGUGGCGAGUGGCGAACGGGUGAGUAAUAUAUCGGAACGUGCCCAGUCGUGGGGGGAUAACGCAGCGAAAGCUGUGCUAAUACCGCAUACGAUCUAUGGAUGAAAGCGGGGGAUCGCAAGACCUCGCGCGAUUGGAGCGGCCGAUAUCAGAUUAGCUAGUUGGUGGGGUAAAAGCCCACCAAGGCGACGAUCUGUAGCUGGUCUGAGAGGACGACCAGCCACACUGGAACUGAGACACGGUCCAGACUCCUACGGGAGGCAGCAGUGGGGAAUUUUGGACAAUGGGCGCAAGCCUGAUCCAGCAAUGCCGCGUGAGUGAAGAAGG